AACGAACGCUGGCGGCGCGUUUAAGCAUGCAAGUCGAGCGGCAAGGGCCUUCGGGCCCUAGAGCGGCGGACGGGUGAGUAACACGUGGACAAUCUGCCCCCCGGCCCGGGAUAGCCCAGGGAAACCUGGAUUAAUACCGGAUGAGACGGGACCUGCGAUGGCGGGAUCCGGGAAAGGCGCUACGGCGCCGCCGGGGGAUGAGUCUGCGUCCCAUUAGCUAGACGGCGGGGUAACGGCCCACCGUGGCGACGAUGGGUAGCCGGCCUGAGAGGGUGGACGGCCACAUUGGAACUGAGACACGGUCCAGACUCCUACGGGAGGCAGCAGCUAAGAAUCUUCCGCAAUGGGCGAAAGCCUGACGGAGCCGACGCCGCGUGAACGAAGAAGGCCGUGAGGUUGUAAAGUCCUUUUCGGGAGGGGGAACAACCGUGGCAGGGAAUGGCCGCGGGAUGACGUGAAUCCCGGAAUAAGCCCCGGCUAACUACGUGCCAGCCGCGGC
This 499-nucleotide ribosomal RNA is filed under the name uncultured bacterium. Its description in RNAcentral is "bacterial SSU rRNA". It matches the Rfam family "Bacterial small subunit ribosomal RNA", at positions 28 to 518 of the family's 1533-position model. The record is from RNAcentral.